RNAcentral lists this ribosomal RNA (406 nucleotides) under uncultured bacterium. RNAcentral's name for it is "partial 16S ribosomal RNA". It matches the Rfam family "Bacterial small subunit ribosomal RNA", at positions 30 to 526 of the family's 1533-position model. The record is from RNAcentral.
AUUGAACGCUGGCGGCAGGCCUAACACAUGCAAGUCGAGCGAGCGGCGGACGGGUGAGUAAUGUAUGGGGAUCUGCCUGAUGGAGGGGGAUAACUACUGGAAACGGUAGCUAAUACCGCAUACCAUCAGAUGUGCCCAUAUGGGAUUAGCUAGUAGGUGGGGUAAUGGCUCACCUAGGCGACGAUCCCUAGCUGGUCUGAGAGGAUGAUCAGCCACACUGGAACGGAGACACGGUCCAGACUCCUACGGGAGGCAGCAGGGGGUAAUAUUGCACAAUGGGCGCAAGCAUGAUGCAGCAAUGCCGCGUGUAGGAAGAAGGCCUUCGGGUUGUAAAGCACUUUCAGUGAGGAGGCGUUACUCGCAGAAGAAGCACCGGCUAACUCCGUGCCAGCAGCCGAGGUAAUAC